UAUUCUGAAAAGCUUACCGCUCC
This 23-nucleotide small nuclear RNA is filed under the name Arabidopsis thaliana (thale cress). RNAcentral describes it as "snRNA_13032". Lineage: Eukaryota; Viridiplantae; Streptophyta; Magnoliopsida; Brassicales; Brassicaceae. The record is from RNAcentral.